This 224-nucleotide unclassified non-coding RNA is filed under the name Hevea brasiliensis (rubber tree). Lineage: Eukaryota; Viridiplantae; Streptophyta; Magnoliopsida; Malpighiales; Euphorbiaceae. The record is from RNAcentral.
UGACUUUACAUGGGUAACAAUUAUUUGAUAAAGGUAAUUAAUAAAAGAAAAAAAUUAUUACUUUUAAUAGUUAUGGCAUUAAAAAUUUUUUUAUUACUUUGAAUAGUUGUGGCAUUUAAAAUGGCUGAUAAACUGGAGGCAUAGGUUUGAAAUCUCGUUGAGAGUGUAGUUGGACAGUUUUACCGGAUGGAGGAGAGCUGCUGAUGUAGAACCAAUAGGUAUUA